This 251-nucleotide ribosomal RNA is filed under the name uncultured bacterium. RNAcentral's name for it is "partial 16S ribosomal RNA". It matches the Rfam family "Bacterial small subunit ribosomal RNA", at positions 78 to 334 of the family's 1533-position model. The record is from RNAcentral.
CUUUUGCUGGCGACCGGCGCACGGGUGAGUAACACGUAUCCAACCUGCCCUUUACUCGGGGAUAGCCUUUCGAAAGAAAGAUUAAUACCCGAUAGCAUAAUGAUUCCGCAUGGUUUCAUUAUUAAAGGAUUCCGGUAAAGGAUGGGGAUGCGUUCCAUUAGGUUGUUGGUGAGGUAACGGCUCACCAAGCCUUCGAUGGAUAGGGGUUCUGAGAGGAAAGUCCCCCACAUUGGAACUGAGACACGGUCCAA